This 460-nucleotide ribosomal RNA is filed under the name uncultured bacterium. RNAcentral's name for it is "partial 16S ribosomal RNA". It matches the Rfam family "Bacterial small subunit ribosomal RNA", at positions 338 to 795 of the family's 1533-position model. The record is from RNAcentral.
CCUACGGGUGGCAGCAGUGAGGAAUAUUGGUCAAUGGACGAGAGUCUGAACCAGCCAAGUAGCGUGAAGGAUGACUGCCCUAUGGGUUGUAAACUUCUUUUAUAUGGGAAUAACAUGUUCCACGUGUGGGAUUUUGUAUGUACCAUAUGAAUAAGGAUCGGCUAACUCCGUGCCAGCAGCCGCGGUAAUACGGAGGAUCCGAGCGUUAUCCGGAUUUAUUGGGUUUAAAGGGAGCGUAGGUGGAUUGUUAAGUCAGUUGUGAAAGUUUGCGGCUCAACCGUAAAAUUGCAGUUGAGACUGGCAGUCUUGAGUACAGUAGAGGUGGGCGGAAUUCGUGGUGUAGCGGUGAAAUGCUUAGAUAUCACGAAGAACUCCGAUUGCGAAGGCAGUUCACUGGACUGCAACUGACACUGAGGCUCGAAAGUGUGGGUAUCAAACAGGAUUAGAUACCCCAGUAGUC